This 225-nucleotide ribosomal RNA is filed under the name uncultured Eubacteriales bacterium. RNAcentral's name for it is "uncultured Clostridiales bacterium partial 16S ribosomal RNA". It matches the Rfam family "Bacterial small subunit ribosomal RNA", at positions 109 to 334 of the family's 1533-position model. The record is from RNAcentral. Lineage: Bacteria; Bacillati; Bacillota; Clostridia; Eubacteriales.
AGUAACGCGUGAGUAACCUGCCUUACACAAGGGGAUAGCCUUUGGAAACGAAGAAUAAUACCCUAUAAAACCAUAAAAGCACAUGCUAGAAUGGUCAAAGUGAUAGCGGUGUAAGAUGGACUUGCGUCUGAUUAGCUAGUUGGUGAGAUAAAAGCUCACCAAGGCAACGAUCAGUAGCCGGCUUGAGAGAGUGUACGGCCACAUUGGAACUGAGACACGGCCCAG